UACAGAGCCUGCGAGCGUUAUUCGGAUUCACUGGGCGUAAAGGGUGCGCAGGCGGUUGGGUGUGUCAGAUGUGAAAUCCCGAGGCUUAACCUCGGAACUGCGUCUGAAACUACUCGACUAGAGUAUUGGAGAGGGUAACGGAAUUCACGGUGUAGCAGUGAAAUGCGUAGAUAUCGUGAGGAACACCAGAGGCGAAGGCGGUUACCUGGACAAUUACUGACGCUCAGGCACGAAAGCAUGGGGAGCAAAAGGG
RNAcentral lists this ribosomal RNA (253 nucleotides) under uncultured bacterium. Its description in RNAcentral is "partial 16S ribosomal RNA". It matches the Rfam family "Bacterial small subunit ribosomal RNA", at positions 524 to 776 of the family's 1533-position model. The record is from RNAcentral.